Molecule: long non-coding RNA, 4066 nt
Organism: Lineus longissimus
Lineage: Eukaryota; Metazoa; Nemertea; Pilidiophora; Heteronemertea; Lineidae
Exons: 4
Source: RefSeq, a predicted model, not a curated record
CAUUCCUCUCCAGCUCGCCAAGGUGGGCGGAAGCAAAAUCUCGAUUUUCUUCUAAAUUUCGCAUGGAAUUACAGAUAUUCUGCUUUGGCCACAUAACUUUCCUUGAUCUAUGAUAUGAGAUGACGGUCGAGGUGUCCAUGGUGGUAAGAGAUGACAGCCCGUGGUCCAUGAUGCUAUAGGAGGUGAAAGGUUCUGUCCAGAAAUCCCUCGGUGAUCUCAAUCCUAGCUAGGUGAUGGACCAUAAUCAGCAGUCAGAUCAACAAUGUUCAAUACAAGGCCAUCGAGUCCCAGUCCUAGUCUUUCAUGGUGAUCGGUUCGGCAAAGAAGGAUAACGCGGACACAGUACCAUACGAGGUGGGAUGUCAUACACACGAAGCGGCUGAACUCCACAGGGAAUCAGAUGAUACAGCAGAUACAAUACUACCCACGGUGGAAUGGCGUCAAUGGCGUAACCGAGUCACGUGAUCUAUAUACGAGGGCGACAUCGAAGGCAUGGCAUAUUAGCCCCUUCUUUUUUGAGAAAUCACAGGAGCAUGCACGUGCGUCACAGACGUUUUGAAUACUUAAACGUAGGGAAAAACGUAAGAUUGCGAAACCUCUCUUUUUUUGCUCUGUUGCCCAAUGCAUGAACCUGACAUGGUACCUGAACAAGGGAAAACUCGUUUGAGUGAAUCGAAAAACCAGAAAUUAGAAUGAACUUUGUCAGUAGCAAUGUAAUGAUCUUUGAGUCUUUGCUUUUAUUACCAGAAUACUCGAUGUAUCAGGUGGAAAUUGUAAGAAAUUGAUAAGAGUUGCAUUGGUUAUUUAUGGGGGCAAUCUUUCAAGCUACAUGUGAUCAGGUUCAUGCACAGGGCCACAGUGUUGGCCAUUGGUGAAACAAUUGUUCCAUCUCAGGUGUAUCUUCAUCAAGGUGAAAGUACAUUUAGUCACUUGGGGAAUUAGUCCUAUCCUAUUGUCCAAUGAGUGUUCAGCGAUUUACAGUUAGAGAUGCCAUGCCUUCAUAAUACGAUUGUAAAAACAACGCAGACUAUUUGAAAAAUCAAGUUAAAAAACCCUGUCCAUUCCUGUAAACUUUCUUGGCUCAAGUAGGCCACUUUUAUAUAUCAUUUCACGAAAGUCUCCUGUUUAAAACGGGCAAAAAAUACUUAAGCGAAAGAAAAGUAAAAAAAAGUUCAGUCGGGAUUCAUCAUCGAUAUCUUGCACUAGAAUCCGAUGCUCUUACCACUACUCCAUAAAACCACCCACUGCAGGGGCCGGCAAUGUGAGAGUCAGUGAAAACAUGUGCUCAGACCUUCAUCAUUGAGUUAUGUCACGAUCAUUCAAUUGUGUAUACAAGUUCCAGGGCUCUUUGUCCAAAUUGUGUGGAUUUCACGUCACUGCCACAGACCCUUUGAUAGGGCCAUUGUGGUCCCUUAAUCUGUAUAUUCCAUUGAAUGAGACAAUACUGUGCUGGCCGAACUGUCCAAUAAUUUUUCCGCGUUGCUGUGUUUGCUGGGAGUUUGGUAUCACAAGCUUGUGAUAUAUCAAUACAAGUACAGGGUGUUAAUCAAAACAAGUUACAGUCUUGAGGCCUAAUAGCCGUUGAUCUAAAUGACUUGGCCAAUUUGAUUGUACCAUCAACAAUUAGAAUCCCUCAGAAUUUGUUGCAUACUAACUGAAAUAUAAUCUAUCCAGUUCAUGUACUUCUUACACAACUGGAAUUCAAAAUGUUUUAAUUAACACCCUGUAUACUUGAUGACCAUAUCACGUAUAAGUUCCAAUUCAAAGCCGUGGCAGUUGUAGUUUGACUUGCGACGGUGCUUUCAAAAUUUUUUGUGUAUAAAAACCUUAUCAUAGUAGAGACCUUUCGCUACGCCGUUCCGAGAACCGCUACACCGAGAACGUUUCUUGUUCCCGAUCCCGUUCCCGGAAACACUGAAACGCGUUCCGCAUGGCCGUCACCGAGAAACAGUUUGGUUUCUAUGGAGAUCGUCGAAAUGGCGGCAAACUUGAGACGCCUUGCAAAUUUCGCAAUUGAAGAUGAUGAAUUUAUGGCAUUUUAUAUCAAAAAUGAAGUCUUAGGAGGCAAGGAAAAUACGUUUGCGCCAGCGUGUGCAUCCAAUGCAUGCUGCUAUAAAUGACUGAUUUACGACCGCUUAACAUGCUUAAUAGGGCGAUUCGGGGCAGUAUGAACUUGUUUUCCCCUUCUAAAACACAGUCUCUCCACUUUACAUACUACUUCGGGUGCCUUACCGCAAUAGAAUCCCACAAAUUCGUCAUUUUUUUUCUUUAACCACUGUAAACAGACGCCGAGAAAAACAGGCCUCAUUCACGGAAUCCAGAACGGGAACGGGCAAAGCUGCUCAUCAAUCGAUGACGUCAUACGCAAAACGCGAUCGUUCUCGAUCGAUUUCUCGGCGGAACGGCGUAGCGAAAGGUCCCUAUUCUCGAACUACACCUUCCACCAUGGACCACCCAGGCUCCCCAAGUCUGGUGUCCUCGAAAGCACUCAUUCAGCCCCUUCCAUUUUGGGAAAACAUUCAAUCAGAAAUGGAAAACAUUUGUGACACCCCGUAUAUGUGUAUUUAUGUGAAGAUGUCGGAUAUUCCAUUGUAAUUAAAAGUAGAAAUUAUUUUAUCAACAACAUCAUUAAACUGCUGCAGUACGAAGUUGUUUCUUAAAAAUAUCAAUUCAGAAAACAAAACCCCUUUAAACUAAAAGUAACACGUGUUCACCCAUUCUGAAUUACAUCAACAAGAAUUGACCUCUCAGUCCCAAAAAACUGAUUGGUUCAUUUCCAAUGAGCAAGCGGAAAGCAGAAUUCGACACUUUCGAUAAACUGGGAUCCAUAAUUAAUUAUAUCUUUUAAAAAGCAUAAACGAUAACCUGCUCAGUGUCAGGAGCAUUUCGGCUUACUGUUUGUUGCUUUGAUUUCAAGUGUCCAUUUACCCUAAUCAGUAAUAAUAACGUCGCCAUUUUUUAGGUGCGUCGUUAAAUAACACUUUCCGCUACCCUAGCGGGCAUUUUGGUAACUAAAGGUAGCACUGGAUCGAUUUCGGCGGCUGCUGUAUCUUUGGCUUCACAAGGUGAUCCCUCAUUAUCUGGCUUGUUGGUGGCGGCUGUGGUCGCUUGGGUACGAAUUGGUUGAGGAGAUAUUAGGACUCCCCAAUCUGCUCUGCGAUCCUUUAUGGCUAGGGUACGAACAAGGGAACGAACGGUCGAUCUUUGAUCAAGGGGUAUACUUCGACUCUUCAGUAUCAUACCUCAAUGCGAUUCAGCCUCACCUUGGGUCAGACGUUUAGGGAGAAUCAAUUUGGUGAUCCGAUUUCUGGUUGCGGCUAACUGGGUCUACUCUGGCGUCCGAUUCCAGACCAUUAGCGUACUCUUCCAUAUAAGGCUGCGGCUGGGAACGAACAUCGCCGUACUGGGUCCUCGUUUGAUAAGUGGGCAGUGACACCGCAUCCAGAUUUUGAUGAUGAGUUCUGAAAUAACUAAUUGGUACACCCAAGAAUUGUCUGUGUAAUAACAGACACAUUUCAAUCGUUAGGGUAAAUUAAUCUACGUCAUUAAAGCAACACCAACAUUCAAAAUGUUUGAAAGGAAUAAUCAGGGCAUUAAAAUAUCAUUAUCAAUCGCCCUUUUUAAAAACCAUACUACCAAUCCAGACCUUAGAUCCAAAUCAAAUGAAAUGUAUGGAAAUCCAUCCCCUUCCAGACCGUUCAAGAUAUUCUAAAGAAACAAUUAACUGACGGCAAUACUCUGUACAACAGAUUAAGAUUUAGGCCUCAAUUAACGGUACUUAAUUCAGACUGUGUAAUAAUACUUUAAUAUCACUUCUAUAAGACCAUCUAAUGAACUUUAACAAAGGAAUGAUUGCGACUGCGGGAUAUCCUUUGACUUCCGCAGCUGUAACGUAAACUGUAAGACUUCACAAGCACUGAAGCUGUCUUAUCACUUUCUAUUUGCUACGUAUAUUUGGGUUGUGUUGAAAUUCACGAAAAUGGUCUUAUAUUUGUGAUUUUACAGUAUUUCGCCUUCUUUGCGUGUACUGUGAAAAUUGUUGGUAGUUUUUUCAAUAAAACUUGUG